This is a long non-coding RNA of Papaver somniferum (opium poppy), 988 nucleotides long. RefSeq lists it as uncharacterized. The transcript has 8 exons. Lineage: Eukaryota; Viridiplantae; Streptophyta; Magnoliopsida; Ranunculales; Papaveraceae. The record is from RefSeq and is a predicted model, not a curated record.
AUUGAUCUUACGGCUCCCGUUCCCCUCUUCUCUCACCUAGAAAGCCUUAUCUAUUUCUGACUCUGGUUACUCUUCUCUGGAUAAAACUUUUUCUUCUUUGGUAUUAUCUAGAUCCGUAAAUUUCUCAGAGAGAAAAAGAUUUGUGCUGAUAAUAGAAGGUGCUUUUUACACAGGGUUUCGUUUUCUACUUCAAUCAACUACUGGAUGAGUCAUCUUCAUCUAAAUUUACUUGUAUCAUAGACGGACAACCAAGCUGAUGGGGUUAAAUGAAUUGCUUCAGUGAAAAGGUUGAGUGCGCUGUUGCAAAAGAUGGGCCUGCCAGCUUGGUCCUAAGGCUGAGAGCAUUGUUCUGAGUAUCGUUUUCAUGCUUUCGAGUCCAAAUGAUGGAUCCCUGACAUAUAGUGUAGAUGUUGUGAUUUGUAGAAAGAAUUGAGAGACAACAAGGAUGAAUUUAAAAAGAAAGUGGACAGUCGUGUAGAAAUCCCAGGGUUUUUGUUAAUGGAAAGUCAAGAGUCUCAAAACUCAUACUCAAGGAAGCGAAAAUGCAAAAUCAGAUAGGAUCAAAUCAUUCCAUACUGAUAUUACAUCACUUAAGAAGGAAAUCCUUUUGUAGCAUACCUAUGAAUAUUAGAACUGUACGGGCACGAAGGCAAAUCUACAUCUUACAAUUCUUGACAUAAACUAAUGGCAAAACCGUCCACCUGAUAUUGAAGGCAUAGAAGGAGAAGUUCUUGGUAAAAUGUUACUGAAAUCGUUGUUGAAAGUUUUAGGACUUGUAUCACUUCUCUUUAAGAAACCUUAAUAAUUGGGAGUUGAAUCCGUUUUCUUUAAUGAUUUUGGAGUAAAUUUAUGAGUACAGUUCAAUGUAAUGCAUCUGUCAUUUGAUAUGGAAUUUGAAUUUUAGUAUUGUACUAUUAAUUUUCAUUUGAAUUUGAGAAUUUUAGUUAUUUCAUUUGAAUUUCAAUGUAAUUUGAGUUUCAUUUUAGUA